CAGCAGCAGCAGGAGCAGCAGCAGCAGCAGCAGCAGCAGUAGAUGCUGUCCCAUCAUCAGAUCACACCCAACGGGGCUGCAGCGCACCGCUCCUCCGGCACCAACACCAUGACACCCCGAUUCAAACCCGCAAUCUGAGCCCGCACGAGGAACUCAACGGAACUUGCACGAGGACACCGAGAGACGGACCUGGAGACUUACGCGCGCGCACGCAAGGAAGCUCGCACGGAGAGACGGUUGUUGCAGUGACCAGCGGCCAAAAAGGACAGGGACGCCGACCUAGGCGAACUCCACUGCGCCGCGGAUUUGCGCUUUUCUCUCCCAGAAUCGCGCCCGACACGAAAAUCGCUCCCAGUGAGUCAUUUCACACCCGAACAUGUCAUCGUCGGCAAAGGACAGCGGGCAUUACGCCAACUAUGUGGGACCGUACCGCUUGGAGAAGACGCUGGGCAAAGGACAGACAGGUCUGGUGAAGCUGGGAAUCCACUGUGUCACAUGUCAGAAAGUCGCCAUAAAGAUCGUCAACAGAGAAAAGCUCAGCGAGUCGGUGCUCAUGAAGGUGGAGCGGGAGAUCGCCAUCCUGAAACUCAUCGAGCAUCCCCACGUUUUAAAGCUGCACGACGUCUACGAAAACAAGAAAUACCUGUACCUGGUGCUGGAGCAUGUGUCCGGCGGCGAGCUGUUCGACUACCUGGUGAAAAAAGGACGGUUAACACCUAAAGAGGCCAGAAAGUUCUUCAGACAGAUCAUCUCAGCGCUGGACUUCUGCCACAGCCACUCCAUAUGCCACAGAGAUUUGAAGCCUGAGAACUUGUUGUUAGACGAGAAGAACAACAUCAGGAUAGCGGACUUUGGCAUGGCGUCUCUGCAGGUCGGGGACAGUCUGCUGGAGACCAGCUGUGGAUCUCCGCACUACGCCUGCCCAGAGGUUAUCAGGGGGGAGAAGUACGACGGGAGGAAAGCAGAUGCAUGGAGCUGUGGAGUCAUCCUGUUUGCACUUUUAGUGGGCGCCCUGCCUUUCGACGACGACAACCUGAGGAAUCUUCUGGAGAAGGUGAAGCUGGGAGUUUUCCACAUGCCCCACUUCAUCCCUCCGGACUGUCAGAACCUUCUGCGCGGGAUGAUCGAAGUGGACGCCGGCAAGAGGCUCACGUUGGACCAGAUCCAGAAGCAUACAUGGUACCUAGCGGGAAAGAACGAGCCGGAGCCCGAGCAGCCCGUCCCCAGGAAGGUGGCCAUCAGGAUGCUGGCUGCAGCCGAGGAGAUCGACCCCGACGUCCUGGAGAGCAUGCACUCUCUGGGCUGCUUCAGAGACAAGGACAAACUGACCAAAGACCUGCUGUCUGAGGAAGACAACCAGGAGAAGAUGAUCUACUUCCUGCUGCUGGAUCGUAAAGAGAGAUAUCCGAGCCACGAGGACCAGAACCUGCCGCCACGCAACGAGAUCGCAGACCCUCCCAGGAAGCGUGUGGAUUCGCCCAUGCUGAGCCGUCACGGUAAGAGAAGACCGGAGAGGAAGUCCAUGGAGGUGCUGAGCGUCACAGAGGGGGGGUCUCCUGUACCUGUACGACGAGCCAUCGACAUGGCAACGCACGGUCAGAGCAAAUCUGUUUUCAGUAAAAGCUUGGAUAUCACAAACGCUAACUGCAGCAAGGAAGAAAGGUCGCGGUCGAUCAGCGGAGCGUCCUCCAACCUGUCCACCAGUCCUCUCAGCAGCCCCAGGCCCAACAGGCGGUUUUUCAUCCCGCCCCAGUCCCCAGACCUGUGUCAGUCCCCCAACUGUAGCCCCACCCACUCCGCUGAGGUCCGCCUUAACGGGGUGGGGCCACGCACGCCCAACUCCUACCAGCCAAAGAUGGGGUCCCCCCUCAUGCAUCCCCGCACGCAGACCCUCCCCGCCAAGCCCAAAGUGUCCGAGAAACCCCUCCAGACCACCAGAUCCAACCCCCUCCCCAACACUGUCCAAACACCUUCCACCCCCAAAUCUGAGCCCUCCACGCCUAACAACCCCCUGGCCCCCUGCAUCACCAACAGCCCCCGGGUGAGACGCCACCCUCCCCUUACUGUCCCCCCCAAACUGUCCAUCCCUCUCUCCCCCGUGCCUCCUAUGUCUCCCCGCCGCCGACACCACCUCCACCCUGACCACAACGGCAAAUCUGUCCCCAUCACGCAGGUGACCCCCCACCCCUCCCCCAGAGGGAGCCCUCUCCCCACCCCCAAAGGCACCCCGGUUCACACGCCCAAGGAAAGCCCAGCCGGCACCCCCAGCCCGACACCUCCACCCAGCCCCUCCAUCGGGGGGUUGCCAUGGAGGACACGCCUCAACUCCAUCAAGAACAGCUUCUUGGGCUCGCCGCGCUUCCACCGCAGGAAAAUGCAAGUUCCCACCCAGGAGGACAUGUCCAGUCUGACCCCAGACUCGUCUCCAGAGCUGGCUAAGAAGUCGUGGUUCGGGAACUUCAUCAACCUGGAGAAAGAGGAGCAGAUCUUCAUCGUGAUCAGAGACAAACCUCUGAGCUCCAUAAAGGCAGACAUCGUCCACGCCUUCCUCUCCAUCCCCAGUCUGAGCCACAGCGUCAUCUCUCAGACCAGUUUCCGGGCGGAGUACAAGUCCACGGCCGGGCCGACGGUUUUCCAGAAGCCGGUGAAGUUCCAGGUGGACAUCACCUACACGGAGAGCACCAGCGCCACCAAGGACAACGGCAUCUACUCCGUCACCUUCACCCUGCUCUCAGGUCCCAGCAGACGUUUCAAGCGUGUGGUGGAGACCAUCCAGGCUCAGCUGCUGAGCACCAACGACCAGCCGGGCAUCCAGCCGCAGAUUUCUGGCAGCCCGUUGAGUAACUUCUUUGACGUAAUUAAACAGCUUUUUUCAGACGAGAAGAACCUCCAAGCGUCCCACCCCCCUGGCGCCCCCGCCACGCCUAGCUCCCCCAACAAGCAUGCCCCCAGCAGCAAGCCAAACCAGCCCCCGCCCAAUGACUCUAAAUGCCCCCCCGGCAGCAAAGACAAAACAAAGAUGGCCUCCGGCAACAGGACACAGGAACAACCUUAAGGAGCGGUAGCCGUGCAUGUCUAGAAGCUGAGCAGGUCAUAAACGACAGAGGAGCUGCUGACGUCACUCUUUAGCUAGGAGUGAAACAAAAAAAAAGAAAUCUACUUUUUGCCUAUACAUUUUCUACUCUAUAACGGGAAUGGCUAUUUCAGUUCAAAAGUCGGUCAGUAUUUUACAAUAAGUAGCAGAUGUAGCUUUGUCAUCCCUCCCCUCUGUCCCUCUCUGUGUCCUCGGGGGUCUGUCGGUGGGUGUGUGUCCUCCUCACAUGUGUGACGGCUUCACUUGUCUCUGUCACCAGGGAUCAUCCACAAUAGCUAUUAACCUGCAGGGCGGCCCACAGCGGCCCGCCAACACCGCCGCCAAGAGAGAGUCCGACAAACUGAAGAAGAGACUCACAGAGGACUCCUCCCCCCUCUUCAUUCCCCCCCCCCCCCCCCCCCCCUCCCUCCCUCCCUCUCCGCCGGCAUCAGUAGAGUCUUCUCCCCGAUCAGACCAAACACACUCAGACGAGUUGUAAAAAGAAAAAAGAAGCCUUAAGACAGUGAUGUUUGUCUACACACACACACACACACACACACACACACCCUCGCCUCUUCUCGUUCUUCUCUUUCUCCCACAUGUACAUAAAAACACACACACUGUACGUACUCCUCUACACACACUGCGGGAUGUAAAGUCUGCACACGCUGACAGACACGAGCUUGGAGGAAGAAGCAGACGGUCGUUUGGACGAGCGCUGGCUGGAUUGUAGUUCUUUUUGAUGAGCGGGCGGAUCUUUGGAGCGCGCUCUGUGACGUUUGUAUAAACGGGUUCUCGCAGCUCAAAGGUUACGAUAAAAAGGGGGGAGGUGAUGUUACAUAAAUGAAUGAUCUAUUCUGUUGUACAGAUUAAAUAAUGUUCUGUAUGUACAAAGAGUGUAGUUGUGACAUCAUGUUUUAGAGUUGUGUUGCCAUAUUUUGUUUUUUUGAGUUCAGGCCUGGUCACACCAGCCGAGGAAACGGGGAGACGACGAUAUCGCUGAUAUAAUGACAGGAUUCACAUGAUAGUAUUUCUCAUGCAGACUUCUUUUAAAUUCACUUUGACACAAAUUUGAAUCCAAACGAGAACUCAAAACUCAAACACCAGUCGGCUUACUUUAACUUUCUCUCAUGAGCCGUUUUCACAUCCUGAAAAUAUCUAGAGACUUUCAGGAGGACUGCCCCUGAAUUCUUCCUGAUCUGGUUGUUCACACAUGGGGAGAGACGAUCCCUGUCAGACUGGAGGAGGGGGGAACAGGAAACAUAAUGCAGCAGGUUCAUUAGAGCACGGAGAUGGUAGAGGUGGCGUGCAGACAGUCUAUGGUCGUGCAGCGAUCACAGGGAAUAAACGUCACCACCCCCUCCCACUCGCUCCAGGUGAAUUCUCCUGAUUAUAUCCUGCUGCGUUCUCACAUCAGCUCACUCAAUAAAUCCUCAUACAGACUGCAAGAUAAGGGGAAACAACGCCUUUUGUUACUAGUUUAAUAAAAUCUACCAAUGGGACAAACAAAUGUUACUUGUUAAGUUUCUAAAAAUGAGAUGUAACGUCUGAUUUCAAGAAACUUACACAAAAUGUGCUGCCCCAUUGGCAGGUUUGUUUUCUUAAUAAAAGCACCCCUUGCCUUGUUUUUCUUACUGAGGAUCUGUCGGGUAAAUGUGGCUUCUGAAAAGUGUAAUGACACGUUUUGGACAAGAAAUUAAAGGAGCAGUAUCUCUGACACCUAGUGUUUAAAAUGGGUACUGCAGUCUAAAUUCUAAACAUUGUAGAGAGCUGUCUCCCCCCCCCCCCCUCUCUAGAG
This is an RNA transcript of Labrus mixtus (cuckoo wrasse), 4871 nucleotides long. It is a transcript of the gene named serine/threonine-protein kinase BRSK2-like, with no coding region annotated. NCBI's taxonomy places the organism in Eukaryota, Metazoa, Chordata, Actinopteri, Labriformes, Labridae. The transcript is spliced from 21 exons. The record is from RefSeq and is a predicted model, not a curated record.